UGCAUUAUUAAUAUCUAAUUGAUGAAUAGGCCAGUUAAAUUUCGUAGCUAUGGCUAGAAAUAUUCUCACAGUGACCAAUUUAGCUACAGGUGAGAAGUUGUCAUGGUAAUCAAUUCCAACCAAUUGACUAUACCCUUUUGCAACCAACCUAGCCUUGUACUUGUCUACAGUGCCAUCUGGCCUAUAUUUGACUCUAAGUGGGUACAUAGAAUUGCUUUUUUGCCUUUGGGAAGGGUGGCAAGGACCCAGGUAUUAUUUCUCUCUAAAGCCCCC
RNAcentral lists this unclassified non-coding RNA (273 nucleotides) under Hevea brasiliensis (rubber tree). Lineage: Eukaryota; Viridiplantae; Streptophyta; Magnoliopsida; Malpighiales; Euphorbiaceae. The record is from RNAcentral.